UUUUUAGUGUUAAGUAUGUCCCAUGCAAUAUUUGAGACAUACUUACACUAAAA
Ailuropoda melanoleuca (giant panda) is the source of this 53-nucleotide non-coding RNA. The record is from Rfam. Lineage: Eukaryota; Metazoa; Chordata; Mammalia; Carnivora; Ursidae.